AUCUAUGGCCACGCCACCCUGAAUGUGCCACAAUCUCGUCUGAUCUCGUCGGGCCUGGUUAAUACUUGGAUGGGAGACUCCCUAGGAAUACCAGGUGCUGUAGGCU
Molecule: ribosomal RNA, 106 nt
Filed under: Pteropus alecto (black flying fox)
Lineage: Eukaryota; Metazoa; Chordata; Mammalia; Chiroptera; Pteropodidae
Source: RNAcentral